UCAUCGAGUUGUUGAACGCAUUGCACCGCGCCCUAAACCGGCUGCGGUAUGCCCCUUUGAGCGUCAUUGCAUACCUUCGGGAGUCUUUUUCACAAAAGACCCGAGUUCGGAGUCCUCGGUCCUUUGGGAUCGUGUUCUCUCAGAUGCAUCGCGCCGAUCGCCUGAUGGGUACUCUAAUGCCUGAGCGUGGAGUCCCUCGGAGUCGAGAUGCGCUGGACCGGGUGUCGAAGCCCGCGUCUCCAAGUCCAAGACGGCAGACCUGCCUCUCGGUACUACAACCACAUGACCUCAUUGGGGUAGGACAACCCGCUAGACUUAAGCAUAUUAAUCAGCGGAGGAAAAGAAACUAACCAGGAUUCCCUCAGUAACUGCGAGUGAAGCGGGAUCGGCUCAAUGUGUGAAUCUGGCUCGGGGUACAUCCUGGGUUCGAGUUGUGCACUAUGGACGUUUCGUCUGCGUUUGUAAAGGCGGUGGAAGUCCGUUGAAACACGGCACCUCAGAGGGUCAUAGUCCUGUACCACCUGUCUGCACUCGCGCCAAUGACAAGCGCUCCUCGAGUCGCGUAGUUUUGUAUUGCUGCGCCAAGUGGGAGGUAGAGACCUUCUAAGGCUAAAUAUGAUGACGUGACCGAUAGCACACAAGUACCGCGAGGGAAAGGUGAAAAGCAACCAUGAAAAAUGGGUUGAAACAGUAGUGAAAUCGCUACCGGGAUAAGGGCUAUCG
Molecule: ribosomal RNA, 723 nt
Filed under: uncultured Tulasnellaceae
Lineage: Eukaryota; Fungi; Basidiomycota; Agaricomycetes; Cantharellales; Tulasnellaceae
Description: eukaryotic LSU rRNA
Rfam family: Eukaryotic large subunit ribosomal RNA (bases 284-723)
Source: RNAcentral